UAGGGAAUCUUCCACAAUGGGCGAAAGCCUGAUGGAGCAACGCCGCGUGAGUGAAGAAGGGUUUCGGCUCGUAAAACUCUGUUGUUAAAGAAGAACAUAUCUGAGAGUAACUGUUCAGGUAUUGACGGUAUUUAACCAGAAAGCCACGGCUAACUACGUGUCAG
RNAcentral lists this ribosomal RNA (164 nucleotides) under uncultured bacterium. RNAcentral describes it as "partial 16S ribosomal RNA". It matches the Rfam family "Bacterial small subunit ribosomal RNA", at positions 355 to 511 of the family's 1533-position model. The record is from RNAcentral.